UCUUCGAGCAGGUCACUGUGCAUAUAAGAUGCCUCAAUUAAAUGCAGUGGACCUCAAAAAUGUUUUAUAGUAUAUUUAUAUUUGAAAGCUUUUUUUAAUUACCAUGGAAGCAUAAGGUCCCUCCCAUGCCUGACACCUACGCAUUACAUCUUUACAGGGACAGAAAGGACAGAUGGUGAUUAGGAAUUCCUCAGGUAGCUAUCCAUGGUGCUGAAGUCAUGACAUUUUAUACUUACACAACUUUAAGAAGGCUCCUGUCCUCGAGCCCUUCUGCAUGCACUGUGUGCUGUGACCCGGUCAGCCUGUAGCGUGACCAAGAAGUGCCAUGAGAACAAGGGUGAGAAGGUGGAGGAGGAGACAGACCCCCGGGCAAGCACGCAUGCAUGCAUGCACGCACAUAAUGGACUUCAUCAACAGUAUUAAAAUUAAAAUGGUCAGAGAGUUGUUGCCACCUUGAUCGCUUCUAUAACCGCAUUCACUCUUUUAAGUUUUGAAGGAUCUCGAGUAUGGGAUUUUGUCUAUUCACCCUAAGUGGCUUACAAGCUGUGUUUGAAUUCAUCACUACAACUUUUUGAGGUCAUGGCUAUCAAAUUCUUUAGCUACAAACUCAUUCAAGCUUGUCAUUUUAUUCACAUUUCCUUUUAAAAAAAGGUUUCCUGUAAAGGUAGACUUGUUGUCCAAAAUAUGUUUUAAGGUGAAGCAUCAGGAUUCAGUAGCCCAUGCAAUUCAAAAUUCACAAAAGGAUCUACCGCAACAUCUAAUAUGGUUGAAAUUUCACUAGCGAGAGAAAAAUUACAAUCAGAAUUGCCAUAAAAUGGACAUUUAAAUGAAUAUUCAAUUGUCUACAGCGUGUUUGGAUUCAAUAGCACAAUUUCAUACUUUGGAAGGCAUGUAAAUGUUAAGAAAAAUAUUCUCUAUGACAUUUAUUGACUUAGCCUGGACUGUAAAGCAGAUUAUUGACUGCACAGUCAGACAUCUGAAGCCAGAGGCUUCUAACUGAGAAGGGCGAGCACAUUUAUUGAUACUUUCAAGUUGCCACAUCAGUACACUGAUAAUCGCAUCCAAUCAACAAUAAAAGUUCACUACUUGCUAGCACUGCUGGAGUUCACCUAUGCCAUGGUCACAUACAAUGCCAUGGUAAUCCUUACUUUAAUUGCAGUUCAGUUCUGGGUAACACUUUAGAUUAAUGUCCUAGGAAAAAGCAUGAAUAACAGUUAACAAGUGUUAUUAAGUCCUUUAUAUAAUGCUUAUCAACAUUAAUAUAUGUUGAUAAGUGUUCGUAAUGGCCUUAAUAUCAGGCAAAAAGACCUUUAUAAAUACUUAGUUCAUAGGUCAUAGCGCCCUGGAAUCUUAACCUAUCCGGUGCGCUUGUGUCCAAUCCGAAUUCAUUUUUUUGCCUCAAUACAAAUGGAAUAUUCUUUAUUGUACCUCUCAACAAUUAGUUUCUUGGUAGACUGUAAUGAGUUACAGUUGGAAAAAUAUAACAGGUCCCAGGCGUGAAUACACUUCAGGCAGCUUAUGUUGAUUGUCAAAAAAUACGGGACACGAAUGAAUGUACAAUAGAAACGUGUUGUCUUUGCAAGAAUCAUCCAAUAUUUUUUUAUUAAUCUCCAAGGCUGUUAUUU
Molecule: long non-coding RNA, 1625 nt
Organism: Corythoichthys intestinalis (scribbled pipefish)
Lineage: Eukaryota; Metazoa; Chordata; Actinopteri; Syngnathiformes; Syngnathidae
Exons: 3
Source: RefSeq, a predicted model, not a curated record